UGCACUGUAUGGAAUCUAUAUUCUUAGCAGUUUAUGCUUUCUGGGUGUUUAAAGGACAGUGCAAUAUAAAUUCAGUAUCUGAUAUCGUUGGUUUUCUUGGUUUCAUGCAUAUUAAACCUGAUAGUUUUAUUGAUUAGUA
Small nucleolar RNA from Molossus molossus (Pallas's mastiff bat), 139 nucleotides. RefSeq annotates it as small nucleolar RNA SNORA8. The record is from RefSeq and is a predicted model, not a curated record. Lineage: Eukaryota; Metazoa; Chordata; Mammalia; Chiroptera; Molossidae. The transcript has a single exon.